UACGUAGGUGGCAAGCGUUGUCCGGAAUUAUUGGGCGUAAAGCGCGCGCAGGCGGUCCUUUAAGUCUGAUGUGAAAGCCCACGGCUCAACCGUGGAGGGUCAUUGGAAACUGGGGGACUUGAGUACAGAAGAGAAGAGUGGAAUUCCACGUGUAGCGGUGAAAUGCGUAGAGAUGUGGAGGAACACCAGUGGCGAAAGCGACUUUCUGGUCCUUAACUGACGCUGAGGCGCGAAAGCAUGGGGAGCGAACGAG
RNAcentral lists this ribosomal RNA (253 nucleotides) under uncultured bacterium. RNAcentral's name for it is "partial 16S ribosomal RNA". It matches the Rfam family "Bacterial small subunit ribosomal RNA", at positions 524 to 776 of the family's 1533-position model. The record is from RNAcentral.